CCUACGGGAGGCUGCAGUGGGGAAUCUUGCACAAUGGGGGAAACCCUGAUGCAGCGACGCCGCGUGAGUGAAGAAGGAUUUCGGUACGUAAAGCUCUAUCAGCAGGGAAGAAAAAAAGUCCUUUGGACUUUGGACGGUACCUGACUAAGAAGCCCCGGCUAACUAGGUCCCAGCAGCCGCGGUAAUGCGUAGGGGGCAAGCGUUAUCCGGAUUUACUGGGUAUACAGGGUGCGUAGAGGGAAGCGAAAGUCUGAGGUAAAAUGCCGGGCCCAAACUCCGAAACUACUUGGGAAACUGUUCAGCUGGAGAGCAUGAGAGGUAAGCGGAAUUUCUAGUGUAGCAGUGAAAUCCGUAGAUAUUAGGAGGAACACCAGUGGCGAAGGCAGCUUACUGGACCGUAACUGACGUUGAGGCUCGAAAGCGUAGGGAGCAAACGGGAUUAGAUACCCGGGUAGUC
This 457-nucleotide ribosomal RNA is filed under the name uncultured bacterium. RNAcentral's name for it is "partial 16S ribosomal RNA". It matches the Rfam family "Bacterial small subunit ribosomal RNA", at positions 338 to 795 of the family's 1533-position model. The record is from RNAcentral.